Molecule: microRNA, 22 nt
Filed under: Gallus gallus (chicken)
Lineage: Eukaryota; Metazoa; Chordata; Aves; Galliformes; Phasianidae
Description: microRNA Ros-gga
Source: RNAcentral
UCGAGUCCCGGCGGAGUCGCCA